Molecule: non-coding RNA, 24 nt
Filed under: Arabidopsis thaliana (thale cress)
Lineage: Eukaryota; Viridiplantae; Streptophyta; Magnoliopsida; Brassicales; Brassicaceae
Source: RNAcentral
ACACCAAAUGUGCAUGUACUUUGC